GUUUUUUUGAUUAAAAAUUUAAAGUUUAAUUUGCCCCCUGAUUAAAAAUUAAAGGGCUGCAGUAUAUUGACUGUACAAAGGUAGCAUAAUAAUUAGUCUUUUAAUUGAAGACUUGUAUGAAAGAUUUGAUGAAAUAUAAACUGUCUCUAAAUUAAAAAUUGAAAUUAAUUUUUUUAUUAAAAAGUUAAAAUAAUUUAAAAAGACGAGAAGACCCUAUAGAGUUUUAUAAUUAUAAUUUUUUAAUAUUUAAUAUAUAAAUAAUAAAUUUAAAAAAUUAUAAUUAUUUUAUUGGGGUGAUAGAAAAAUUAAAAUAACUUUUUUUAAAAAAAAAACAUGAAUAAUUGAAUAAAUGAUCCAUAAAUUAUGAUUAUAAGAAAAAAUUACCUUAGGGAUAACAGCGUAAUUUUUUUUUUUAGUACAAAUAAAAAAAAAAGGUUGCGACCUCGAUGUUGGAUUAAGAUAAAAUUUAAAUGCAAAAGUUUAAAAUUUUGAUCUGUUCGAUCAUUAAAAUCUUACAU
Molecule: ribosomal RNA, 518 nt
Filed under: Heliconius melpomene (postman butterfly)
Lineage: Eukaryota; Metazoa; Arthropoda; Insecta; Lepidoptera; Nymphalidae
Description: partial 16S ribosomal RNA
Rfam family: Archaeal large subunit ribosomal RNA (bases 391-518)
Source: RNAcentral